GCUGGGCAUGGUGGCACAUGCCUGUAGUCCCAGCUACUCAGGAGGCUGAGGUGGGAGAAUCGCUUGAGCCUGGGAGGUCGAGACUGCAGUGAGCCAAGAUCGUGCCACUGCAUUCCAGCCUGGGUGACACAGUGAGACCCAAUCUCUA
RNAcentral lists this non-coding RNA (148 nucleotides) under Gorilla gorilla gorilla (western lowland gorilla). Lineage: Eukaryota; Metazoa; Chordata; Mammalia; Primates; Hominidae. The record is from Rfam by way of RNAcentral.